AUGGUUUAGCAUAGACGAGUUUGAUUCAGGGUUUGAUUUUGCCUCAGAGGGUUGGUCAGCAACCUAUUAGGGGUUGUGGUCCAAUACGAGGUGGUAAUGGUAGUGUUCAUGGUCAGAGCGCACCGAACAGAGGUGAAAAACAGACUGAGGGCUUUGGUUUAUGCAACGAGGCAUCAUGAGGAUAGAUAUGUGAGGGGUGUGAUUGUCAGUACGUUCAUUAUUCAUUCACUGCAUUGCUUUCCUUUAAUUGGUUGUGGAUCUAUGCAUUCUUAUAUAUUUAGUGAUGUUGUGGGAAAUUUGGGAAUUGUGGCUGAGGACACUAGUAGUAAA
This 330-nucleotide long non-coding RNA is filed under the name Gossypium barbadense (sea-island cotton). RNAcentral describes it as "long non-coding RNA (GBAR_LNC022389)". The record is from RNAcentral. Lineage: Eukaryota; Viridiplantae; Streptophyta; Magnoliopsida; Malvales; Malvaceae.